This 253-nucleotide ribosomal RNA is filed under the name uncultured bacterium. Its description in RNAcentral is "partial 16S ribosomal RNA". It matches the Rfam family "Bacterial small subunit ribosomal RNA", at positions 524 to 776 of the family's 1533-position model. The record is from RNAcentral.
UACGAACCGUGCAAACGUUGUUCGGAUUCACUGGGCUUAAAGGGCGCGUAGGCGGGCGGUCAAGUCAGGGGUGAAAUCUUUCAGCUCAACUGGAAAACAGCUUCUGAUACUGGCCGUCUUGAGGGAGGUAGGGGCAUGUGGAACUUCCGGUGGAGCGGUGAAAUGCGUAGAUAUCGGAAGGAACGCCGGUGGCGAAAGCGACGUGCUGGACCUUUUCUGACGCUGAGGCGCGAAAGCCAGGGGAGCAAACGGG